RNAcentral lists this ribosomal RNA (479 nucleotides) under uncultured bacterium. Its description in RNAcentral is "bacterial SSU rRNA". It matches the Rfam family "Bacterial small subunit ribosomal RNA", at positions 28 to 507 of the family's 1533-position model. The record is from RNAcentral.
GAUGAACGCUGGCGGCGUGCUUAACACAUGCAAGUCGAACGAAGCACUUUAACGGAUUUUUCGGAAUGAAGUUCUUGUGACUGAGUGGCGGACGGGUGAGUAACGCGUGGGUAACCUGCCUCAUACAGGGGGAUAACAGUUAGAAAUGACUGCUAAUACCGCAUAAGACCACAGUACCGCAUGGUACAGGGGUAAAAGCCGAGACGGUAUGAGAUGGACCCGCGUCUGAUUAGGUAGUUGGCGGGGGAACGGCCCACCAAGCCUACGAUCAGUAGCCGGACUGAGAGGUUGAACGGCCACAUUGGAACUGAGAAACGGUCCAGACUCCUACGGGAGGCAGCAGUGGGGAAUAUUGGGCAAUGGGCGAAAGCCUGACCCAGCGACGCCGCGUGAGGGAAGACGGUCUUCGGAUUGUAAACCUCUUUUAUUAGGGACGAAACAUGACGGUACCUAAUGAAUAAGCCACGGCUAACUACGUG